RNAcentral lists this microRNA precursor (75 nucleotides) under Myotis davidii. Its description in RNAcentral is "mir-9193 microRNA precursor family". It matches the Rfam family "mir-9193 microRNA precursor family". Lineage: Eukaryota; Metazoa; Chordata; Mammalia; Chiroptera; Vespertilionidae. The record is from Rfam by way of RNAcentral.
CUCGGGGGGAGGAGGAUCCCUCAGCCCAGAUUGCAAGAGGGUGCAGGCCAGGCCGAGGGACCCCACCAGUGCACG